UAAUACGUAGGGGGCGAGCGUUGUCCGGAUUCAUUGGGCGUAAAGAGCUCGUAGGCGGCUUGGCAAGUCGGGUGUGAAAACUUCAGGCUCAACCUGGAGGUGCCACUCGAUACUGCUAUGGCUAGAGUCCGGUAGGGGACCACGGAAUUCCUGGUGUAGCGGUGAAAUGCGCAGAUAUCAGGAGGAACACCGGUGGCGAAGGCGGUGGUCUGGGCCGGCACUGACGCUGAGGAGCGAAAGCGUGGGGAGCAAACAGGAUUAGAUACCCUGGUAGUCCACGCCGUAAACGUUGGGUACUAGGUGUGGGACCUUAUCAACGGGUUCCGUGCCGCAGCUAACGCAUUAAGUACCCCGCCUGGGGAGUACGGCCGCAAGGCUAAAACUCAAAGGAAUUGACGG
RNAcentral lists this ribosomal RNA (399 nucleotides) under uncultured bacterium. RNAcentral's name for it is "bacterial SSU rRNA". It matches the Rfam family "Bacterial small subunit ribosomal RNA", at positions 521 to 916 of the family's 1533-position model. The record is from RNAcentral.